GCCCAGACUCCUACGGGAGGCAGCAGUGGGGAAUAUUGCACAAUGGGGGAAACCCUGAUGCAGCAACGCCGCGUGAGUGAAGAAGUAUUUCGGUAUGUAAAGCUCUAUCAGCAGGGAAGAAAAUGACGGUACCUGAGUAAGAAGCCCCGGCUAACUACGUGCCAGCAGCCGCGGUAAUACGUAGGUGGCAAGCGUUGUCCGGAUUUACUGGGUGUAAAGGGCGUGUAGCCGGGUUGACAAGUCAGAUGUGAAAUCCUGCGGCUUAACCGCAGAACUGCAUUUGAAACUGUUGAUCUUGAGUACUGGAGAGGCAGACGGAAUUCCUAGUGUAGCGGUGAAAUGCGUAGAUAUUAGGAGGAACACCAGUGGCGAAGGCGGCUUACUGGACGGUAACUGACGUUGAGGCUCGAAAGCGUGGGGAGCAAACAGGAUUAGAUACCCCGGUAU
This 447-nucleotide ribosomal RNA is filed under the name uncultured bacterium. RNAcentral's name for it is "bacterial SSU rRNA". It matches the Rfam family "Bacterial small subunit ribosomal RNA", at positions 329 to 793 of the family's 1533-position model. The record is from RNAcentral.